CUGCUUUCACAACUGCUGCAACCUCCUCCACAACUGCAGGUGAUUCUUUCUCCGGUUCACCAGCAGGAUUUUGAUCAAUUUUCUCCUUCGCAACCGUCAGGUUUGAAUCUGAAAUCGGUGUAUCUUUCACCACAUCCGCAGUUUCCGACAAAACAAUAUCUUUCUCCAUCAACUUAGCUUCCUCGUUCACCUUGUUCUCCAAUGGCUGCAUCAGGUAUCUCUAGACUUUUGAUACUACGUGUAUAUGUAUGUGCAUACGCAUAACAUACAUAUACUGGGAGAGCAUAUAUGUGUGUGUUAACACAUACUAGUAUAUUCGACUAUGCCUCAGUGAAAGCAUAUGGAUCUUAACGAGAAUCAAAACAGGAUGCAGAAAUCUAUCUAUCAACCUUAAAAGCAUCACACAGAAGAAGUAGCUGCAGUUGCGGUCUGAGAAUCAGAAGCCAUGAAAGAAGAUUCAGAAGGAACUAGAAGAAAAAAAAGUAAUGGACAGGGUUCAACUUCAAAACUCUCAGAUUAUUUAUUGGCAGAGUUGUUGAAGAAAUUAGUUUGACUGAGAGAACUUAAAAAGGAAAUGAUAGGCCGAAAAAACCACUUACACACAUAAAGUGGGGAACACUGGAUAGCUGUCUCUCACCCUAAAACCAGGGUGUCAAGUGUCAACACACUCUGUAUAUUCUCUACUCUUUUCACUUUCUUUAUCCUUACUAUUUUAUUGUUUAUUCUUAGCCAUUAUCUGCAUUU
Molecule: long non-coding RNA, 744 nt
Organism: Eutrema salsugineum
Lineage: Eukaryota; Viridiplantae; Streptophyta; Magnoliopsida; Brassicales; Brassicaceae
Exons: 3
Source: RefSeq, a predicted model, not a curated record